RNAcentral lists this ribosomal RNA (254 nucleotides) under uncultured bacterium. RNAcentral's name for it is "partial 16S ribosomal RNA". It matches the Rfam family "Bacterial small subunit ribosomal RNA", at positions 524 to 776 of the family's 1533-position model. The record is from RNAcentral.
GACGUAGGGCGCGAGCGUUUGUCCGGAUUUAUUGGGCGUAAAGCGCACGUAGGCGGCUUAGCAAGUCGGAAGUGAAAGCCCUUGGCUCAACCAAGGAAGUGCUUUCGAAACUGCUGAGCUUGAGUAGUUAAGAGGAUCGCGGAAUUCCCGGUGUAGAGGUGAAAUUCGUAGAUAUCGGGAGGAACACCAGUGGCGAAGGCGGCGAUCUGGGAACAUACUGACGCUGAGGUGCGAAAGCGUGGGGAGCAAACAGG